UAGGGAAUCUUCGGCAAUGGACGAAAGUCUGACCGAGCAACGCCGCGUGAGUGAAGAAGGUUUUCGGAUCGUAAAACUCUGUUGUUAGAGAAGAACAAGGACGUUAGUAACUGAACGUCCCCUGACGGUAUCUAACCAGAAAGCCACGGCUAACUACGUGCCAGCAGCCGCGGUAAUACGUAGGUGGCAAGCGUUGUCCGGAUUUAUUGGGCGUAAAGCGAGCGCAGGCGGUUUCUUAAGUCUGAUGUGAAAGCCCCCGGCUCAACCGGGGAGGGUUUGUGGAAUCUGUGAGACUUGAGUGCAGAAGACGAGAGUGGAAUUUCAUGUGUAGCGGUGAAACGCGUAGAUAUAUGGAGGAACACCAGUUGCGAAGGCGGCUCUCUGGUCUGUAACUGACGCUGAGGCUCGAAAGCGUGGGGAGCAAACAGG
RNAcentral lists this ribosomal RNA (429 nucleotides) under Gemmatimonadota bacterium. RNAcentral's name for it is "Gemmatimonadetes bacterium partial 16S ribosomal RNA". It matches the Rfam family "Bacterial small subunit ribosomal RNA", at positions 355 to 776 of the family's 1533-position model. The record is from RNAcentral. Lineage: Bacteria; Pseudomonadati; Gemmatimonadota.